UCGGGAAUUUUGGGCAAUGGGCGAAAGGCCUGACCCAGCAACGCCGCGUGAAGGAUGAAGUAUUUCGGUAUGUAAACUUCGAAAGAAUAGGAAGAAUAAAUGACGGUACUAUUUAUAAGGUCCGGCUAACUACGUGCCAGCAGCCGCGGUAAUACGUAGGGACCAAGCGUUGUUCGGAUUUACUGGGCGUAAAGGGCGCGUAGGCGGCAAUUCAAGUCAUCUGUGAAAUCUCCGGGCUUAACUCGGAACGGUCAGAUGAUACUGCUUUGCUAGAGUGCAGAAGGGGCAAUCGGAAUUCUUGGUGUAGCGGUGAAAUGCGUAGAUAUCAAGAGGAACACCUGAGGUGAAGACGGGUUGCUGGGCUGACACUGACGCUGAGGCGCGAAAGCCAGGGGAGCAAACGGGGAUUAGG
RNAcentral lists this ribosomal RNA (412 nucleotides) under uncultured bacterium. RNAcentral describes it as "bacterial SSU rRNA". It matches the Rfam family "Bacterial small subunit ribosomal RNA", at positions 355 to 782 of the family's 1533-position model. The record is from RNAcentral.